Molecule: small nuclear RNA, 107 nt
Organism: Dipodomys ordii (Ord's kangaroo rat)
Lineage: Eukaryota; Metazoa; Chordata; Mammalia; Rodentia; Heteromyidae
Source: Ensembl
GUGCUUGCUUUGGUAGCACAUAUAUUAAAAUUGGAACAAUACAGAGAAGAUUAGCAUGGCCACUGCACAAAGAUGACACACAAAUUUGUGAAGUGUUCCAUAUUUUU